This 24-nucleotide microRNA is filed under the name Ananas comosus (pineapple). RNAcentral describes it as "microRNA s1159_c013b". Lineage: Eukaryota; Viridiplantae; Streptophyta; Magnoliopsida; Poales; Bromeliaceae. The record is from RNAcentral.
AGUGGAUUGAGUGAGGUGAGAAGA